Sapajus apella (tufted capuchin) is the source of this 1200-nucleotide long non-coding RNA. RefSeq lists it as uncharacterized. The transcript has 2 exons. Lineage: Eukaryota; Metazoa; Chordata; Mammalia; Primates; Cebidae. The record is from RefSeq and is a predicted model, not a curated record.
UUUCUCCAUGUUGGCCAGGCUGGUCUCGAACUCCUGACCUCAGGUGAUCCACUUGCCUUAGCCUCCCAAAGUACUGAGAUUACAGACGUGAACCACAGUGCCUGGCCACACUGAAAUAUUUCAAGAUUAUUGUAAGAAUUAGGGAAAGAAGAGAAGAUUGGACAAAAUAAGGAAUAAAUAAAAGAGUGACAAGGAUAUCAGAAGGUAACAGCACCAAAGAACAGAGGGUGACCUUAGCCUCAAAGACACAUUACCAAGCAUGAAAGACAAAUGGUCUGAAAGCAGGGUUUGACACUUUGACCAAAUGCUUGAAAGCCUAAUUUGCAUUUCUUCUGCAGUUGUGUUUUUAAAUACCUGGGAAGUCAUUUGUUGAAUCAUGCAAAUGAAAUUAUUUUUCAAAUGCUGAACAGUUUUUCUGAGUUAAUCUCCUUCUAUUUUGUUUUUUUCCUAACUAUUGGUAACCAAGACAUCCAGCAUUUUAAAUACUGAGAAAGAACUUUUCAGGUCAUUUACUUUCGGGGCCAGAUAGCUUUUAAAUUUUUCCAUUUUGAAAAAGUAUUUAAAUCUAGAGUUUAGGGCUACAGAACCAAGAAGCUUUGUUGAUUCAGUCUGUAAGGGAACUGGGUUCCUUUGAGCUGAGGCAGUUUCUCCUGUCUUUGGAGGAGGACCUUCUCAAAAUCAAAACUCCCCACCACUGUCAGUCACCAGAAGGCCCAGGGUCAGUUGUGUAUUGGGAAGUUGCUUGAGGCCAGUUCCUUUCCUGGGCACCUAGGUUUUCUCUUUUCUGUUUUUGCUUGUGGGUGAGGGAGGCGAGGGUUAUUUUUGGAUGGUGGCUGGAGGCAAGACUGAGGCUGAGCCUUGUUAAGGUGGCUGGCUGCACAGAGAGGGAGACAAGAAGAGAACAGUGGUGUCAUGAGAAGGUCUGGGUCUUAGCUCACACUCAGAAGGGUUUUUUAGCAAUGCUGCUUGGUGUAAGUCCAAGAAUGGUGGCUAUCUGGAAGAAUGAGACAGUGUGUGUUCUUCUCAAAGGUAUUCAGAAGUCAAAAUUAUUUUAGAUCUGUGUUUGGUCUCACAAGACAUGUGGUGAAUUAAGCCCACCUGCUUCCAUUUGGCGCCCUGCCUUAGACUCCCUAAAGGCCCUCCAGCUCUGAUCUGUUAUGAUUUGGUAGUGCUUUAAAACUCAAACCAAAAGCUAGAAGC